Long non-coding RNA from Musa acuminata subsp. malaccensis (wild Malaysian banana), 1181 nucleotides. RefSeq lists it as uncharacterized. NCBI's taxonomy places the organism in Eukaryota, Viridiplantae, Streptophyta, Magnoliopsida, Zingiberales, Musaceae. The record is from RefSeq and is a predicted model, not a curated record.
ACACACACACACACAAGUCCAUAAAAUAUGCUUUAAGGAGGGGGCAGCUCAACUCACCCCUCACUCACCCCCAAAGCAUGCAAAGGGAAGAGUGCUGUGGGCUGGGGAAUCUUCCAUCCUGCUACUACUGCUAGCUUUAGAGGAAGUGGGCAGGAAGGUAAGUAGAUUCCUGUAUGCAUUGAGGGAGGGGGGAGAAGGAGAAGAGCUGCAUCGAAUUCGCUGUGCAAUUAUGAGGGUUGGUCGCUUUCUGCAUCAGUCUUCAGAUAGGUGAACCUGGGCACAAGUACAAGUUCUUGAAGCAUUUAGACUAUCCUGAUGUACUGUUAAUCAUCCAAAGAGGAAGCAAGUGAAUAACUUCCCUUCACUAACAAGUUCUAAGUCUGAUUACUUGUGAAGGGGCUAAAGUAUUUGAGUUAAGAAGUACUUAAAGCAUUUGCCGUGGGAGGUUGAUCUGAAAAACGGAAAUGAUUGGAAUGGAUCAGAUUCAUCUCCGGUGGUGCAUCAAGUUAUGGAUCUGCAUUGAUUACUGAGUACAUGGAACUUUUUCUUGUGUACGAGAGACUGACCGAGAUCAUGUAGGUUGCUUUCGGAGUUCUAGAGAUUUCGUAUCAGGCACAAAAAAAAAAAAAAAAAAGAAACUAGACCGGAAUCAUUCAACUGUGUGAGCAACAAUAAAAGGUGGACAGGUUCUUAGGCUUGAACAACACAUUGUGAUACAUUUUGCCCGUAGAGUAUGCAACAUCUUCAGCCCUCACAUCUGCAGGAAGCUUACAACUCAAAUCAUCUGUCUACAUGACCUUUCUUGGUUCUAGAAUGGAGGGUUGUUCUGUAGAUAUAUAUAUAGAUUGAAAGGCUCAAGCAUAGGAGAGCAAUCCGCUCCGCAUUGUUUAUUUUGUGACUUCUACCACUGGAAUCAAGUUCUCCAAUGUAGUUUCGGCUGCCUUUUUCACAUGGGUCAUGAAACUAGAACCUGCACAAAUGCUGCAAAGAGCCGAUCCAUAACGUGCCAUGAAAAGAACAAAGCAGAUCGGAUAGAAUUUUGGGAUUUUUCAGGGACAAAACCUUGGUCAAAUAUGACUUCUCCAACUUGCUGCCAGGACAUCAAAACAUCAGUCCAAAUGACAUCAUUUUGGUUGGAAGAGGAGAAUCCUGCAUCCUAUGUGAGUCAUGUGGCACAAGGU